Non-coding RNA from Periconia digitata, 120 nucleotides. Lineage: Eukaryota; Fungi; Ascomycota; Dothideomycetes; Pleosporales; Periconiaceae. The record is from the annotation of a GenBank genome assembly.
CGGACGGUUGGCGCAAUUGGUAGCGCGUUGGUUUUCGGUUCCAGAUGUUGCUUCGAUUUCUUCGAAACUCAAGCAAUUAAAACCGCCAAAGGUUAAGGGUUCGAGUCCCUUGCUGUUCGC